ACAGCAGUAGCCACGGUAAUACGAAGGGUGCAAGCGUUACUCGGAAUUACUGGGCGUAAAGCGUGCGUAGGUGGUGGUUUAAGUCCGUUGUGAAAGCCCUGGGCUCAACCUGGGAAUUGCAGUGGAUACUGGGUCACUAGAGUGUGGUAGAGGAUAGUGGAAUUUCCGGUGUAGCAGUGAAAUGCGUAGAGAUCGGAAGGAACAUCUGUGGCGAAGGCGACUAUCUGGGCCAACACUGACACUGAGGCACGAAAGCGUGGGGAGCAAACAGGAUUAGAGACCCCUGUAGUCCCUGUCUCUUAUAC
This 305-nucleotide ribosomal RNA is filed under the name uncultured bacterium. RNAcentral describes it as "partial 16S ribosomal RNA". It matches the Rfam family "Bacterial small subunit ribosomal RNA", at positions 505 to 807 of the family's 1533-position model. The record is from RNAcentral.